This 532-nucleotide ribosomal RNA is filed under the name Aspergillus fumigatus. Its description in RNAcentral is "eukaryotic LSU rRNA". The stretch from base 160 to 313 matches the Rfam family "5.8S ribosomal RNA". Lineage: Eukaryota; Fungi; Ascomycota; Eurotiomycetes; Eurotiales; Aspergillaceae. The record is from RNAcentral.
CUCCCACCCGUGUCUAUCGUACCUUGUUGCUUCGGCGGGCCCGCCGUUUCGACGGCCGCCGGGGAGGCCCUGCGCCCCCGGGCCCGCGCCCGCCGAAGACCCCAACAUGAACGCUGUUCUGAAAGUAUGCAGUCUGAGUUGAUUAUCGUAAUCAGUUAAAACUUUCAACAACGGAUCUCUUGGUUCCGGCAUCGAUGAAGAACGCAGCGAAAUGCGAUAAGUAAUGUGAAUUGCAGAAUUCAGUGAAUCAUCGAGUCUUUGAACGCACAUUGCGCCCCCUGGUAUUCCGGGGGGCAUGCCUGUCCGAGCGUCAUUGCUGCCCUCAAGCACGGCUUGUGUGUUGGGCCCCCGUCCCCCUCUCCCGGGGGACGGGCCCGAAAGGCAGCGGCGGCACCGCGUCCGGUCCUCGAGCGUAUGGGGCUUUGUCACCUGCUCUGUAGGCCCGGCCGGCGCCAGCCGACACCCAACUUUAUUUUUCUAAGGUUGACCUCGGAUCAGGUAGGGAUACCCGCUGAACUUAAGCAUAUCAAAG